CAGCUAGCGCUCCCUCUGCGACCCGAGCGGCUCCCGGCCCUCCGGCAGCACGGACGCCUCGCACCUCCGGGGAGCAUCGCUGGAAUUCCCGGAGUUUUGCUUACAGAAAGACUUCACUCAGGGCAAGGAAACGGCAGAGCCCUUCCCCCAGGUUUACUGCAGAGGUUGGAUCUUGCUGCCAUCGCUGCUGAGAUGAAUGGGCAGUGCAAGAAAUUGACGUUUCCCAAAGGAAAGAGGGUUUUGUAAAGCAGAGCACGUGAGCAAAGAUGGGUGCGAGAGCGUGGAGACGGCCCAGGUUCUUCUGGUUGAGGGAGAAGAGCUGAGUGUGCCCUGCUGUUGGAGGUGGCACUGCCCUGCCUUCAGCAGGGGGAAAUUGUUAAAAAUCCUACAUGCGGCACGGCUGUUCUAAUAGCAUCUCAGGCAAAAGGUGCUGUUCUUCCUGCUGCCAAGAGCUCAAUUGUCACACAGAUACUGGAGAUCUAUUGCCUAUUCAGAAAGCAAAGCAAAUUAUUCUUUGGUAUUUGCAGAACUAUAGCAACAGCCAAAAAUGUAAGAGGUGUAUUUGGGAUGAGAAGAACAAGAGAGUGAACAAAGCAAACAAGCUGUUACAAGUAAUCUCUGAAACUGCGUGGGACAUAGCAACGUCUGGGAUGUCUGCUGGCACUGAAGAAAAGGACUGGAUUGUGAUGGGAGACUGUGGUGAGCAGCACCAGAGCUUCCCAGUACAGAGAGCUGAGCUCCUUUGUGCUGUGUCUGGUCCUGCUCUGCCAUGCUGGACCCAGAAGAAAGCUGCUCCCAUCACAGAGGAGAUGAAUACUGUCUUGCAGGCAUAGUGAGGACACACAGGGUGUAAUUUUGUCCUUGGGAAUUUUGUUCAUGGAUGUGGCCACCACUGGGACAAAGCUCAAAGCUCCUGGGCAGCAUCCCAGUUCUGAGCUGUGUGCAGCAGGCAGGUGGCUGCCGAGAAGUGGGAUUCCUUAGGUGUGGUGCAGUGGCAUUCCAUGCGCUGGUACUGCCCAUCCUGCUUGUUGACACUGUGUGCACAAAUCACAGGUGUGACAUCUAUUUGUUUCCUAAACAAUGUGUUGAAAGAACUCGGGAGGGAUUUGUAUAGCAAAGAGAGCAAGUUUAAAUUAAACAUUUUUUCCUAGAGUGGCACAGUGAUGUUCAUUAGCAGAGGGGAAGUGACAGUGGUGGUUCUCGCAAUCAGAUCUGCACACCAAACCCACCG
Molecule: long non-coding RNA, 1231 nt
Filed under: Chrysolophus pictus (golden pheasant)
Lineage: Eukaryota; Metazoa; Chordata; Aves; Galliformes; Phasianidae
Description: lncRNA (ENSCPIG00010008406.1)
Source: RNAcentral